This 4214-nucleotide unclassified non-coding RNA is filed under the name Drosophila erecta. Its description in RNAcentral is "GG23797". Lineage: Eukaryota; Metazoa; Arthropoda; Insecta; Diptera; Drosophilidae. The record is from RNAcentral.
ACCAGCGACACAAAAAGAGCCAAUUCCAACGCUCUUCGAGGUGGGAGCUAUUAUCUCAUUUUUUUUUUGAGCACGGAAAGGGAAAACAAAUAAGUUUGUUCGCAGCGCUCGCUUCGCAUUCAGUUGCCUUUUUUGCUCGUUACGAGCCGGUUGUCCGUCGAUUUGAAGUGCUCGCCGCUGACCUCCAUCCAAAAACCGAUCCGAUCCCAACCGCUACGGCUCGUUUCGAUUCUAUUCACUCCGAUCAGAGCCGAAUCGUUUGAAUCGCAGCGAGUUUUUCUCUACGUAGAGUUACCACAUUGCCCGAUAUAGUCUAUAUAGCCCAGUUGCACGUGGAGGAGGUUGCCGAGCAGACGAGUGACCAUGGCGACGGAUACAAGCUCGCCGAUGGACAGAUUCUGCGGAUCCACAUUCUGGAACGCGACGGAGACAUGGUGGACCAAAGAUCCGGACUUCACGCCGUGCUUUGAGCAGACGGCCCUGGUCUGGACACCGUGCGCCUUCUACUGGGUGUUCGUGAUCUUUGACUUCUACUACCUGAAGGCCAGUCUGGACAGGAAUAUACCGUGGAACAAGCUGAACGUGAGCAAAGCGCUGGUGAAUCUGGGUCUGCUGGUGAUCACUGCCCUGGACCUGAUUAUGGCCCUGAUCAAGAAGGGCGGCGACUCCGAGCUGCCCCUCUACGACCUGGAUAUCUGGGGUCCCAUCAUCAAGUUCGCCACCUUCCUGUUGCUCUUCAUAUUCAUCCCGUUGAACCGGAAGUACGGCGUGCAGACCACGGGGUGUCAGUUCAUCUUCUGGUUCCUGCUUACCGUGCUGUCGAUUCCCCGCUGCCGCACCGAAGUUCGCCUGGACUCGGAGCGACAGAAGAUUCUGGAUUCGCAGCAGCCCUCGGACCAGGACUUUUCGUGGGAGGAGUACCAGUUCGUUAGCUUCUUUAUCUUCUUCACCUUCACCAGCAUCAUGCUGAUCCUGAACUGCUUUGCGGACGGAUUGCCCAGGCAGACCAAGUACCAGAGGGGUGAGAACGAGAUUCCCGAGCUGUCAGCCAGUUUCCUUUCCAGGAUCACCUAUAUGUGGUUCGACAAAAUGGCCCUCAAGGGCUAUCGCAACCCACUGGAGGAGAAGGAUCUUUGGGACCUGAGGCCCCAGGACAGCUGCUCCGAGGUCAUGCCCAUCUUCGCCCACCACUGGAACCAGAACGUGCGCAAGAACUACAGGAACAAGGCCCGCGUAGAACCCAAGGCCCAGUUUAGCAAUGGCAAUGUGACUUUUGAAAAUCCUCAUGGAGAGAAGAAUGGUCGGAAAAAAGGCAUGGCCAGUAUUAUGCCGCCAAUUUACAAGUCCUUUGGAGGCGUCUUUUUGUUCGGCGCCCUGAUGAAGUUGUUCACCGACGUCCUCACAUUUGCCCAGCCCCAAGUCCUGAGUUUGAUCAUCAGCUUCGUUGAGGCCCAAGAAGCCGAGCCCGAAUGGAAGGGUAUCUUAUACGCUGUCCUACUUUUCGUUUUGGCCGCUGCCCAGACCUUUAUUCUGGGUCAGUACUUCCACCGCAUGUUCAUUGUGGGCCUGCGAAUCAGGACAGCUUUAAUCAACGCCAUCUACCGCAAGGCCCUGCGCAUUUCGAACUCCACCAAAAAGGAGUCCACCGUGGGCGAGAUCGUCAACCUGAUGGCCGUGGAUGCCCAGCGAUUCAUGGAACUGACCACCUACCUGAACAUGAUCUGGUCCGCGCCCCUGCAGAUCGCCCUGGCCCUGUAUUUCCUCUGGCAGCAACUGGGACCCUCUGUGCUGGCCGGUUUGGCUGUGAUGAUUAUCCUGAUUCCUGUGAACGGUGUGAUUGCCAGUCGCAUCAAGACCUAUCAGAUCAGACAGAUGAAGUACAAAGAUGAGCGUGUCAAGUUGAUGAACGAAGUACUGAGUGGCAUUAAGGUGCUGAAGCUGUACGCCUGGGAACCGAGUUUCGAGAAGCAAGUGUUGGAUAUCCGUGACAAGGAGAUUGCGACGCUGCGAUCCACUGCCUAUUUGAACGCGGGAACUUCGUUUUUGUGGUCCUGUGCCCCCUUCCUGGUUUCAUUAGUUACAUUCGCCACUUACGUUUUAAUCGAUGAAAAUAACGUGCUUGAUGCCACCAAAACCUUUGUCUCAUUAUCAUUAUUCAACAUUCUACGAUUUCCGCUAACAAUGUUGCCCAUGCUGAUCACCAACCUGGUGCAAACGCAAGUUUCCGUGAAUCGUAUCAAUAAGUUUCUGAACAGUGAGGAACUGGAUCCCAACAGCGUUCUCCACGACUCCUCCAAACCCCACCCUAUGAGCAUUGAGAAUGGCGAGUUCUCUUGGGGCGAUGAGAUCACGCUGCGCAAUAUUAAUAUCGAGGUGAAGAAGAACAGCCUGGUGGCCCUGGUUGGCACGGUCGGUUCCGGCAAGUCGUCUGUAGUGCAGGCUUUCCUCGGUGAAAUGGAGAAACUUGCGGGCGUUGUCAACACUGUGGGCAAGUUGGCCUAUGUACCGCAGCAGGCUUGGAUUCAGAAUGCGACGGUGAGGGACAACAUCCUGUUUGGUCAGACGUACGACCGAAAGCGCUACAACAAGGUUAUCGACGCCUGUGCCCUGCGUGCCGAUAUCGACAUCCUGUCGGCUGGAGAUCUCACGGAAAUCGGUGAGAAAGGCAUUAAUUUAUCAGGUGGCCAGAAGCAGCGCAUCUCGUUGGCCCGUGCUGUGUACAGCGAUGCCGAUCUGUAUCUGCUGGAUGAUCCUCUGAGCGCCGUGGACUCACAUGUGGGCAAGCACAUCUUUGAGGAGGUUAUCGGACCCAAGGGUAUACUGGCACGGAAAUCCCGCGUGCUGGUCACCCACGGCGUCACUUUUCUGCCCCAGGUGGACAGCAUCUAUGUGAUGAAAAUGGGCGAAAUUAGCGAAAGCGGUACAUUCGACCAACUGGUCAAAAACAAGGGCGCCUUCGCCGACUUCAUUAUCCAGCAUCUGCAGGAUGGCAACGAAGAGGAGGAGGAGCUUAACCAGAUCAAGCGUCAGAUCUCCAGCACCGGAGAUGUCCCUGAGCUGUUAGGCACUGUCGAAAAGGCCAUUAAGUUGGCGCGCACGGAAAGCUUGUCCGAUUCCAUUUCGGUUACAUCUGCUGAUAGUUUGAUGGGCGGAGGAGGAAGUCUCCGCCGGCGAACAAAGCGACAAGACUCCCACGAUUCCGUUGCCUCUGCCGCUUCCCUGAAAAAGAAGCAGGAGGUACAGGGCAAACUGAUUGAAACUGAGAAAUCGCAGACUGGUGGCGUGGAGUUCGCAGUGUACAAGCACUACAUCAAGAGUGUUGGCAUCUUCCUAUCGGUUGCCACAUUGGUACUCAACUUUGUAUUCCAAGCUUUCCAAAUCGGCUCGAAUCUGUGGCUGACUCAAUGGGCGAACGAUCAAAAUGUCGCCAACGACACUGGCCUCAGGGACAUGUAUCUGGGUGUUUAUGGUGCCUUCGGAUUUGGCCAAGGUUCUGGCUACCAUUGUGGUUAUUAGUCUGUCCACGCCGAUUUUCCUGGCCGUGAUCGUGCCCAUCGCCUUCCUGUACUACUUCGCCCAGCGCUUCUACGUGGCUACUUCGCGGCAGCUGAUGCGUCUGGAAUCCGUCUCCCGGUCACCAAUCUACUCGCACUUCAGCGAAACUGUCACCGGAGCAUCGACUAUUCGUGCCUACAAUGUGGGUGAUCGUUUUAUUGAGGAAUCCGAUGCCAAGGUGGACAAGAACCAGGUUUGCAAAUACCCGUCCGUGAUUGCCAACCGAUGGCUGGCCAUUCGUUUGGAGAUGGUGGGCAAUCUGAUUAUUCUGUUCGCAUCGCUCUUCGCCGUCCUGGGAGGACAAACCAAUCCCGGCCUGGUGGGCCUGUCGGUAAGCUACGCCCUGCAGGUGACCCAAACCCUCAACUGGUUGGUGCGCAUGUCAUCCGACAUUGAGACGAAUAUCGUGUCCGUGGAGCGCAUCAAGGAGUACGGCGAGACCAAGCAGGAGGCUCCCUGGGAGCUGGAGCAGGACAAGAACAAGCCGAAGAACUGGCCGCAGGAGGGACGCGUUGAGUUCCAGAACUUCCAGGUGCGCUAUCGCGAAGGCUUGGACCUGGUGCUGCGCGGUGUUAGUUUCAAUAUCAAGGGUGGCGAGAAGGUUGGCAUCGUUGGUCGCACGGGUGCCGGUAAAUCCAGUCUCACAUUGGCCUUGUUCA